CGGUUGAUCCUGCCGGAGGUCACUGCUAUUGGGACUCGACUAAGCCAUGCGAGUCGAGAGGGUUCGGCCCUCGGCUGACGGCUCAAUAACACGUGGAUAAUCUGCCNUUAGGUGGAGGAUAAUCUCGGGAAACUGAGAAUAAUACUCCAUAGAUCUAGGCUGCUGGAAUGCAUCUAGAUCAAAAGCUCCGGCGCCUAAGGAUAGGUCUGCGGACUAUCAGGUUGUAGUCAGGGUAAAGACCUGACUAGCCUACGACGGAUAUGGGUUGUGAGAGCAAUAGCCCAGAGACGAUAUCUGAGACACGAUAUCGGACCCUACGGGGCGCAGCAGGCGCGAAAUCUUCACAAUGUGCGAAAGCACGAUGAGGGAAUCCCAAGUGCUAGCACGUAAGUGUUAGCUGUUCCUAAGUCUAAAAAACUUAGAGAGUAAGGGCUGGGUAAGACGGGUGCCAGCCGCCGCGGUAAUACCUGCAGCUCAAGUGGUGGCCGCUAUUAUUGGGCCUAAAACGUCCGUAGCCUGUUCAGUAAAUGCUUGGGUAAAUUGUGUAGCUUAACUAUACGAAUACCGGGUAGACUGCUAAACUUGGGACCGGGAGAGGCUAGAGGUACUCCUGGGGUAGAGGUGAAAUUCUGUAAUCCUAGGGGGACCACCAGUGGCGAAGGCGUCUAGCUAGAACGGGUCUGACGGUGAGGGACGAAGCUCUGGGGCGCGAACCGGAUUAGAUACCCGGGUAGUCCAGGGCGCAAACGCUGCUUGCUUGAUGUUAGCUGGGCUCCGAGCUCAGCUAGUGUCGGAGAGAAGUUGUUAAGCAAGCUGCCUGGGAAGUACGAUCGCAAGAUUGAAACUUAAAGGAAUUGGCGGGGGAGCAC
Molecule: ribosomal RNA, 869 nt
Filed under: uncultured archaeon
Lineage: Archaea
Description: bacterial SSU rRNA
Rfam family: Archaeal small subunit ribosomal RNA
Source: RNAcentral